GCCCCUGGCCUCCUAGCACAACUAGCAUAAACAUACUCCUUGAAACAAUGCUGUGGAGUGGUGUUGUGGCUUUAUUUGCUUCUAGAGGUAAAAUACAGAGGUUUGUAGCAAGGACAAAGAUUAUUUCCCAUUCAGGGCAAAAAGCUGCCUACUGUUCUUCUGUGACAAUAUUCUCAUCUCUUCCACCUCACCACCACUGCAAUAAUGAUUUCCACCUGGCUCAUCUAGCUGGGGGCUGGGCUGGCAUCAUGGCCCUGAGACGGGAGGAACCCUCACUGCAACACCCCAGACAGUUUAACUGCACUGAGCAUUUAAUUCCCAAGAACUCAUCAGGAAGAAAACUGAGCCACACGAGGUCAAACUACUGUUAUUAUUGCUCAUUGGCUCUCCACUGCUCAGACUGUGGCUGUAACAGUGGGCACUGUGCAUGGCACAGUGGUUGAAAUAGGAAUGCACACAGAGUUGAUGGAGAAAAAGGAUCCAUAUUAUUCACUUAUAGCCUCACAGAGGAACCAGUGACCACAGAAGAUCCUAAGGUUGGAUCAAGUAUCAACAGUUUGAAGCCAAAUAGAGCAAAAGGGAAAUCAUGCUCCAUAAUAAGAAGAUGAUUAAUAAACCCUGCAAAAAGUAAUGUACCACACAGGCUAAAAGGUCCAGGGAUCUCACUGAACCCUGAAACAACUAAUAUGGAAAGAAUAAAUAACUGCCAAGCAGUGUAACUGUGGACUCUCCAUCAUUGGAGCAGGUGAAGCUCCAAGCAGUGAGCCCCAGGCAGAAGGCUCUGGGUGCAGGGUGUACUGGAUGACCUCUGGAGAUUCCUUCUGACCAGCAAGAGUCUGUGAACUUAUGACAGCUGGUGAGAGCUCCUGCACACCACUUCCCCUUUCACACUGACGUCACUUCUUCAGAAGAACACGUCAAGAACUAUUUCUGUACUGAUCAGGAGGACUGUUUCCUUUUUCUAAAAUUAGUGUCAGUGAUACAGCACAUUUAUUAAGGUUGGAUUCUGUUGCUAUUUGUAGUCCUGAGGCGGCAUUAUGAAAUUAUUCAUACCUGUAUCCUCACCCUUGUUCUCUGCUUCCUCAGGAUCCUUCUGUUUGAUUCCUCCUGCUGCUGAAGACAACACUAAGAGGCUGUUUAUCCUAAAAAUGUAGAAAUAACUGUAAUUUCAAACUAUUUUUUUAUUUCUUAUGUCUGAAGAUAAUAAAAUUAAAGUGUGAAGGAUCAUUUACUGCUCUGUGAGCACUGGCCACAGUUUGAAAGUGGCCUGGUCCUCUGUUUUGCAUCAUACUUGCUGAAGGUGUAAAGUAAUUACCUU
Molecule: long non-coding RNA, 1318 nt
Organism: Melospiza melodia melodia
Lineage: Eukaryota; Metazoa; Chordata; Aves; Passeriformes; Passerellidae
Exons: 4
Source: RefSeq, a predicted model, not a curated record